Molecule: ribosomal RNA, 251 nt
Filed under: uncultured bacterium
Lineage: Bacteria
Description: partial 16S ribosomal RNA
Rfam family: Bacterial small subunit ribosomal RNA
Source: RNAcentral
GCAAGUCGAGGGGCAGCGAGGGUAGCAAUACCUGUCGGCGACCGGCGCACGGGUGAGUAACGCGUAUGCAACCUAUCUCCAACUGGGGGAUAGAAAUGAGAAAUUAUGAAUAAUACACCAUAGCCCUGCGAGGCGACAUCGUCAUUCAGGUAAAGUUCCGGCGGUUAGAGAUGGGCAUGCGUGACAUUAGCUAGUUGGUGAGGUAAAGGCUCACCAAGGCUGCGAUGUCUAUGGGGUCUGAAAGGAUGGUC